CCGCUACACUAGCUUGUUUGUACCAUGCUAUGCAAGUCAUUGUAAAGGUGAAGGACUGGUGGAUUUACUGACUGUUUGUUUGGAUUCUUGCCUAUAUGGAAAUGAAGACCAGUAACGAGACAGUGAGAAGAGGGAAAGACCAUAACACAUCCUGUGAUGGAAUGCAGCCGAAUACCCCACAUGUGGUCAGCAGAUGCCACCAGAUGUGAGAGUUCAAAAAUGGACCUAAAAAGUUCAUUUAUGACCCAUCACUAAUCAAAACUGAUCAGUCUUUAUAUAAACUCUCAAAACCCAUAGGAAAUUCAAGAGGGAACCCAUGGCUCAAAAAAAGGAUAAUUCUCUUUAGGUUUCAGGACAAUGAACAGCUUUAUUAUGGACAAUACAUUGACUUAUUAGACACCCAUACUUAACGUAGUGCUGACAGAUUUCCAUAAGCACAAAUUUAUCUAAAUUGUAUAAUUUUAGCUGUAAUACACUCUGGAGUUCAUUUACCAGAGAGUGUGUUACAAAAUUGAGAAACAAAACU
Molecule: long non-coding RNA, 526 nt
Organism: Cyprinus carpio (common carp)
Lineage: Eukaryota; Metazoa; Chordata; Actinopteri; Cypriniformes; Cyprinidae
Source: RefSeq, a predicted model, not a curated record